This 70-nucleotide transfer RNA is filed under the name Bathygadus antrodes. Its description in RNAcentral is "tRNA-Arg". It matches the Rfam family "tRNA". From Rfam's summary of the family: Transfer RNA (tRNA) molecules are approximately 80 nucleotides in length. Their secondary structure includes four short double-helical elements and three loops (D, anti-codon, and T loops). The record is from RNAcentral. Lineage: Eukaryota; Metazoa; Chordata; Actinopteri; Gadiformes; Macrouridae. RNAcentral also lists the same sequence under 1 other name.
AGAUAAUUAGUAAUAUAAAAAAUACUUGGUUUCGACCCAGGAGUAUGUGGUGUAAGUCCGCAAUUAUCUA